This 468-nucleotide ribosomal RNA is filed under the name uncultured bacterium. RNAcentral describes it as "partial 16S ribosomal RNA". It matches the Rfam family "Bacterial small subunit ribosomal RNA", at positions 28 to 507 of the family's 1533-position model. The record is from RNAcentral.
GACGAACGCUGGCGGCGUGCUUAACACAUGCAAGUCGAACGGAAAGGCCCUGCUUUUGUGGGGUGCUCGAGUGGCGAACGGGUGAGUAACACGUGAGUAACCUGCCCUUGACUUUGGGAUAACUUCAGGAAACUGGGUCUAAUACCGGAUAGGAGCUCCUGCUGCAUGGUGGGGGUUGGUAAGUUUCGGCGGUUGGGGAUGGACUCGCGGCUUAUCAGCUUGUUGGUGGGGUAGUGGCUUACCAAGGCUUUGACGGGUAGCCGGCCUGAGAGGGUGACCGGCCACAUUGGGACUGAGAUAAGGCCCAGACUCCUACGGGAGGCAGAAGUGGGGAAUAUUGCACAAUGGGCGGAAGCCUGAUGCAGCAACGCCGCGUGCGGGGUGACGGCCUUCGGGUUGUAAACCGCUUUCGCCUGUGACGAAGCGUGAGUGACGGUAAUGGGUAAAGAAGCACCGGCUAACUACGUG